Molecule: long non-coding RNA, 241 nt
Filed under: Sorghum bicolor (sorghum)
Lineage: Eukaryota; Viridiplantae; Streptophyta; Magnoliopsida; Poales; Poaceae
Description: long non-coding RNA (SBIC_LNC010930)
Source: RNAcentral
UCAUGCUGGGGAUGACAACUUGGCUUAAGUGGUAUGAGGGAUAGGUUUGGCAUUUUUGGCACCGUUACUAGAUAUAGAGAACUUAGUCUACUUUUGGUAAUGAUGUUAAGAAUACCCAACAGCGAGCUCCUCCCAGUCCCUUGACCGAGAGCAGGAUCAUGUCAUAGCCAAAGCCGGUAGACAUGAACUCGAGGCUCUCGAACCAAAUCACCGUGGAGCGCGGGAUCGGUGAAACAAGAGU